This 336-nucleotide ribosomal RNA is filed under the name uncultured bacterium. Its description in RNAcentral is "bacterial SSU rRNA". It matches the Rfam family "Bacterial small subunit ribosomal RNA", at positions 290 to 639 of the family's 1533-position model. The record is from RNAcentral.
GCCUGAGAGGGUGGACGGCCACAUUGGGACUGAGAUACGGCCCAAACUCCUACGGGAGGCAGCAGUGGGGGAUAUUGGACAAUGGGGGGAACCCUGAUCCAGCGACGCCGCGUGAGUGAAGAAGUAUCUCGGUAUGUAAAGCUCUAUCAGCAGGGAAGAAAGAAAUGACGGUACCUGAGUAAGAAGCCCCGGUUAACUACGUGCCAACAGCCGCGGUAAUACGUAGGGGGAAAGCGUUAUCCGGAAUUACUGGGUGUAAAGGGAGCGUACACGGUGAUGUAAGUCUGGAGUUGAAAGGCGGGGGCCCAACCCCCGGACUGCUCUGGAAACUAUAUG